RNAcentral lists this long non-coding RNA (212 nucleotides) under Hordeum vulgare. Its description in RNAcentral is "long non-coding RNA (HVUL_LNC019947)". Lineage: Eukaryota; Viridiplantae; Streptophyta; Magnoliopsida; Poales; Poaceae. The record is from RNAcentral.
GUCGGAUCCGUCCGGGGCAUUGUGCCAUGAACGUAGCAGGGCGGAGCAGCGCAACGGGCACAACAUAUGUCCCGGACACGACGGUGAAGUACAGGUGGGCCGGAAUUAGUCAGGCAUAAACGCACGCGGGUGCAAGGAGGAGCAGCGCGGCCAAGGCCAUAGCAGAAUCCGUGGCCGACCGAGGCAGCAGUAACAACCUGACUCGGACAGGC